AUUUUAUGAGAGCAACAGCUUUAUACACUAUAAUAAAGAUAUCAAAUUACAUCUUAUUUUUUAGAUACAAAGAGGAAAAUAUAUGGCUGAAACUUUAAAAUAAAGAUUGUCCAAAAGUUCAAGGAGCUAAUAUUAGGUGUCGUAGUGGCAAAUGCGUACAAGUCUAAUUCUGAGAUGAAUGAGUUAUUUUGCUAGCAUAAGAAUAGUAAAAUAUACUAUAUGCUAGAAUAUUUCACAAGCUGUCAUUUAGUUUUUCUGUAUGCACUAGAAAACUGUAUUUUUUUUAUUUUUUUUUCUGUAAAAUAAGGAAGGAUGUCUAGGCUGGAGAGUCUUUGAGCAUGGAAGACAACUAUUUUCCACUUUUAUUUCAGUUAAAUUAUUAUCUAUUUUUUAUUAAUAAUUUCGGCACUCUUUUCUCCUAACAGGAGUUUUUAACAAAUCCUACUCCAUUUAUUUUAA
Medicago truncatula (barrel medic) is the source of this 459-nucleotide long non-coding RNA. RefSeq lists it as uncharacterized. The record is from RefSeq and is a predicted model, not a curated record. The transcript is spliced from 2 exons. NCBI's taxonomy places the organism in Eukaryota, Viridiplantae, Streptophyta, Magnoliopsida, Fabales, Fabaceae.